RNAcentral lists this ribosomal RNA (485 nucleotides) under uncultured bacterium. RNAcentral describes it as "bacterial SSU rRNA". It matches the Rfam family "Bacterial small subunit ribosomal RNA", at positions 427 to 915 of the family's 1533-position model. The record is from RNAcentral.
ACACUUUAAACUCAAAGGAAUUGACGGACCACGUGUGGCUUAUUGCAGGUACCGUAUGAAUAAGGACCGGCUAAUUCCGUGCCAGCAGCCGCGGUAAUACGGAAGGUCCGGGCGUUAUCCGGAUUUAUUGGGUUUAAAGGGAGCGUAGGCCGUCUGUUAAGCGUGUUGUGAAAUGUCGGGGCUCAACCUGGGCAUUGCAGCGCGAACUGGCAGACUUGAGUGCGCAGGAAGUAGGCGGAAUUCGUCGUGUAGCGGUGAAAUGCUUAGAUAUGACGAAGAACUCCGAUUGCGAAGGCAGCCUGCUGUAGCGUAACUGACGCUGAAGCUCGAAAGCGUGGGUAUCGAACAGGAUUAGAUACCCUGGUAGUCCACGCGGUAAACGAUGGAUGCUCGCUGUUUGCGUCUGACGUAAGCGGCCAAGCGAAAGCGUUAAGCAUCCCACCUGGGGAGUACGCCGGCAACGGUGAAACUCAAAGGAAUUGACG